Molecule: ribosomal RNA, 600 nt
Filed under: uncultured bacterium
Lineage: Bacteria
Description: bacterial SSU rRNA
Rfam family: Bacterial small subunit ribosomal RNA
Source: RNAcentral
GACGGGAGUGCGACUGACGCUGAAGCUCGAAAGUGCGGGUAUCGAACAGGAUUAGAUACCCUGGUAGUCCGCACGGUAAACGAUGGAUGCCCGCUAUUCGCUCGAAUGAGUGAGUGGCCAAGCGAAAGCAUUAAGCAUCCCACCUGGGGAGUACGCCGGCAACGGUGAAACUCAAAGGAAUUGACGGGGGCCCGCACAAGCGGAGGAACAUGUGGUUUAAUUCGAUGAUACGCGAGGAACCUUACCCGGGCUUGAAUUGCAGGAGAACGAAACAGAGAUGUUGAGGUCCUUCGGGACUCCUGUGAAGGUGCUGCAUGGUUGUCGUCAGCUCGUGCCGUGAGGUGUCGGCUUAAGUGCCAUAACGAGCGCAACCCCUGUUCUUAGUUGCCAUCAGGUAAUGCUGGGCACUCUGGGAAUACUGCCACCGCAAGGUGUGAGGAAGGUGGGGAUGACGUCAAAUCAGCACGACCCUUACGUCCGGGGCUACACACGUGUUACAAUGGCCGGUACAGAGAGUUGGUCGUGCGCAAGUACGGUCUAAUCCAUAAAACCGGUCUCAGUUCGGACUGGGGUCUGCAACCCGACCCCACGAAGCUGGAU